Molecule: ribosomal RNA, 494 nt
Filed under: uncultured bacterium
Lineage: Bacteria
Description: bacterial SSU rRNA
Rfam family: Bacterial small subunit ribosomal RNA
Source: RNAcentral
GACGAACGCUGGCGGCGUGCUUAAAAACAUGCAAGUCGAACGGACUUCUCAUGAAGCUUGCGAUUGAGAAGUUAGUGGCGGACGGGUGAGUAACGCGUGGGCAACCUGCCCCUGAGCCCGGGAUAACAGUUCGAAAGGACUGCUAAGACCGGAUAUACUUGCGGUGAAGCAUUUCACUGUAAGGAAAGGGAACGCUCAGGGAUGGGCCCGCGUCCCAUUAGUUAGUUGGUGAGGUAACGGCUCACCUAGGCAAUGAUAGGUAGGCGGCCUUAACGGGUGGUCGCCCACACUGGGAUUGAGAUACGGCCCAGACUCCUACGGGAGGCAGCAGUCGAGAAUAGUCUACAAUGGUCGGAAGACUGAUAGUGCGACGCCGCGUGAACGAUGAAUCCCUUCGGGGUGUAAAGUUCUUUUAUAUGUGAGCAGUGCUUCUUAUAUUAACAGUAUGGGGAAGAGAUAUUAGCAUAUGAAUAAGCAACGGCUAACUCCGUGCC